RNAcentral lists this long non-coding RNA (386 nucleotides) under Monodelphis domestica (gray short-tailed opossum). RNAcentral's name for it is "lncRNA (ENSMODG00000042008.1)". Lineage: Eukaryota; Metazoa; Chordata; Mammalia; Didelphimorphia; Didelphidae. The record is from RNAcentral.
CUCAAGAGCGGGGUGGGAAUCAGGGUACCCUAGUGAGUGGCAGAGGUGAAGGAGAGGUGAAGGACCUCGCGAGGAGUGAGCAUUGCUCCAUGACUGGGAGGUGCUGGACGUGGGUUCCAGAGGGCCAAUCUAAGGAGGAAGGAGUGUGAUCUAGAGAAAAUCCAAGUAGCCCAACGCCCUCCAUCACUUCUCUCUGGACCCUCCCCUGUAUACGUGAGGUUGCCGAAGGAGCAGAAAUGGCUGCGAAGUUGUGGAAGAGUUGGUGAUAUAUGGACUAGACAAUAUUGCAGACAGGUGAAUUCAGGACUGGCUGUAUGUAGCUUCCUAUUGCAGAAGAGAAAACAGCAAAAUAACUUAUCCAUGGUCAUAGCUAGUAAUUAUCUGAG